RNAcentral lists this non-coding RNA (201 nucleotides) under Clostridium saccharobutylicum. RNAcentral describes it as "GlcN6P sequence". It matches the Rfam family "glmS glucosamine-6-phosphate activated ribozyme aptamer". Rfam says of the family: This entry contains a glucosamine-6-phosphate activated ribozyme that is found in the mRNA for GlmS. RNAcentral also lists the same sequence under 1 other name. The record is from RNAcentral. Lineage: Bacteria; Bacillati; Bacillota; Clostridia; Eubacteriales; Clostridiaceae.
AGUAAGUUCGAUUAGCCAAAUCAUAGAUUUGGAAUCUCACUUAAGUUGACGAGGUUGGGGAGUUAUCGAAACUUCGGCGGGUGCCCCACGGUAAAAGGUAUCUUUAUGCAAUCAUUUUUGUUAAGAUACUGAAAGCACUACCGUUAACGACUGGCAAAACUUUAAAGUGAUUUAAAGUACAAAUCCAGUUAGGUGUUAAAG